AUGAUUUUUUUUGUUUUCCCCUGGUCUCUCUCUCUCUUCUCUUCUCCAACUCUCCCGUGUCUCUCUCUCGAACCUCAUCUCUCUCCCUCGCUGCAACUCCUUUUCCCCGAGCAACACUCAGCCACGCCAUCUGCUGAGGACAUCACCAUCAAAACCUCUGCAGGUUUUCUCUCUCUCGUUGUAGAAAGGACGACGAAAUCCUGCAACUCCUUUUCCCUAAGCAACACUCAACCACACCAUCUGCUGAGGACGUCACCAUCAAAACCUCUGCAAUUUUCUCUCUCGUUGUAGAAAGGACGACGAAAUCCCAGGAGCCUCCGGCGAGCACUGUCCCUUUCGAGGCCAUUUCCUGCCAAACCGCGGUGAGUUGGCCGGCAUUUAAGUUUCCGGCGAGUCCGACAGCUUUCGAGGCGUUUUCCGGCCAAACCACGGCGAGUUAGACGUCGUGCGAGGGGCAAUUAUAGUGGCAUUUCUGUCUUUGCUAGUUGCGUGACUUUUCGACGGCGAAGUACUGAUUUAGAAUCGAGGCAUACGAUCACGACGUCAACGUCUUCACUUUGGCAUAUUCGAGUCCUCUCGGUGUAGGACCACAUCCGUUAUUUAUUAAAUUUUAUAUUAAUUCUUUUAGAACUUUAGUUAGUUGUAUGUUCUGA
This is a long non-coding RNA of Malus domestica (apple), 653 nucleotides long. RefSeq lists it as uncharacterized. The record is from RefSeq and is a predicted model, not a curated record. NCBI's taxonomy places the organism in Eukaryota, Viridiplantae, Streptophyta, Magnoliopsida, Rosales, Rosaceae.